Molecule: ribosomal RNA, 397 nt
Filed under: uncultured bacterium
Lineage: Bacteria
Description: partial 16S ribosomal RNA
Rfam family: Bacterial small subunit ribosomal RNA
Source: RNAcentral
AUACGUAGGUGACAAGCGUUAUCCGGAUUUACUGGGCGUAAAGGGCGUGUAGGCGGUCUUGCAAGUCAGAAGUGAAAUUCCUGAGCUCAACUCGGGCGCUGCUUCUGAAACUGCAGGACUUGAGUGCUGGAGGGGAUAGCGGAAUUCCUAGUGGAGCGGUAAAAUGCGCAGGUAUUAGGAAGAACACCGGUGGCGAAGGCGGCUAUCUGGACAGUAACUGACGCGGAGGCGCGAAAGCGUGGGGAGCAAACAGGAUUGGAUCACCUGGUUGUCCACGCCGUAAACGAUGAAUACUAGGUGUAGGGGGUAUCGACUCCCUCUGUGCCGCAGUUAACACAAUAAGUAUUCCGCCUGGGGAGUACGGCCGCAAGGUUGAAACUCAAAGGAAUUGACGGGG